Molecule: long non-coding RNA, 513 nt
Filed under: Nicotiana benthamiana
Lineage: Eukaryota; Viridiplantae; Streptophyta; Magnoliopsida; Solanales; Solanaceae
Description: long non-coding RNA (NBEN_LNC024276)
Source: RNAcentral
CGCUUUGAAGUGUACCAAAGGGAGAUGAGGAAGAGGAGGAGUACAAUUGCAGCUCCAACGAUAAUACCAACAACUACCCAUAAGUGUAGACCGAAUAUUGAAGUCUUCUUUGAGAGCUCAUCAUUUAAGAAAGAUGACAUAUUUUUAUCUUAUUCUUCUACUACUGAGAAGAAUCUUUGGUUAGCUGAAAUACGAAUACAUGAACACUAAGAACUGACAUUUUUUUAUCUUAUUCUUCUACUACUGAGAAGAAUCUUUGGUUAGCUGAAAUACGAAUACAUGAACACUAAGAAGUGUUAGAGACAGAGAGAGGAAGUACAGUGUAAGGUUUAGUGACAGUAUAUGGCGGUAUGGUCCAAUAGGGUGCGUGUGGGGAUAGUACAGAGGACAGACAGUAGGACGUUAGAGGAGCUAUGGGUUUUGGACCAAAGGAGGGAGUGAGCGGUCAAGAGUAGGGAGGGGGAGGAGCAGCUGUAAUGAUGGGACUGCUAAAAGGGGAAGAUUUGUUUAAGC